Phascolarctos cinereus (koala) is the source of this 703-nucleotide non-coding RNA. Lineage: Eukaryota; Metazoa; Chordata; Mammalia; Diprotodontia; Phascolarctidae. The record is from RefSeq and is a predicted model, not a curated record.
ACAGGUAGAUCUCAGAGUGGGAAAGGGAAAGAUGUAAAGUAAAAGCAAGUUUGUUACCUGGGGAGCUGGCAUUCCAGAAGACACAGUGCUAGGAAUCUCUGUCCUGGGAAGAGAAGAGAAAGGAGAGGAAGGCAAUAAGAGGAAGCUUAUGCAAGGACAAAGAAUGGCUGAAAAACUCUUGUCAUUGCUAUGGAGGCUGCUGCAGAUUCCUCCAAGACCACCAUUCAGGAGCUAGACACCCAUGAAGAUCACCAAUCAGAUGCCAGGGUCCCACUGAAAACUGCAGUUGGAGGCCAAGGCCCCAUUAGCAUCACCAACUGCUUGGAGAAAGGAUGAGAAAAAUAUGAAGAAAGUGGAAGACAGAAACAAAAUUAACUGUGAGAGAGAAGCAGUGAGACUAGCAUCUCCUGAAAGGGAUCCUGGAAAAGAGAUAAGACAAAUCCCUGGCCUUAGGACCUCACCCCCUCUUGAAGAGGAAGCUGGCUGUGAUGUCUGACCCCAAAAGCCUUCUUAAAGAAAGAGCCCAGACUAGUCAUUAGAACCUGGCAUUGUAUCUCUGACUCCUCAAAAAGUUACUUGCUGUCUUUGUACCUCAGCCUCUUCAUCUUAAAAAUGGGCUGUUUGUCCUCAAUUAUCUGUAACAUCCCUUCUGGCUCUACCAUACUAUGUUCCAAGGUCCCUUCAAGAUCUAACAUUCCAUGUC